GUGGGAUAGAGGUUGUGAUUCAGAAAAGAGCUUGUCUUCCAGAUCAUGGCCCCAGUAAACUGUCUCUAACCAGAGAAAUUCACUGGUGAGGUAAUGCUCCCAUGAUCUAAUUGCCUUCCAAACACAUGAAGCUUUAGGGCACUGCCCUGAUCAAAACAAUAAUUAGGGCAAAACAGUUCAGUUGUUGGCAGUCUGUAGUGUGUUCUGCUCAGUUCAAAUUAAAAUCAUGAAUCGGCAAAGUGCAGCUCUGCUAGCAGUCCUGAUGUGAGCAGACAAUGCUGGAGAAUGCUGGAUGCCAACAGCUGACGCAGCCACUAUCAACUUGCGCUGGAUGGUAUAGGUCAAAUCUACUGGGUGCUGGUCUCUGCUGCUGAUUUUCAUUGGCUACUGGUCUACUCAGGGUAAGAAUUAUAAAGCUAAUUAUAUGCUGGCUGUUCAAGAUAAGAAUCUUGAGUAGAUUUAUAGGACUUUACAGGCCUUUUCGAAUCCACACUAUCUGAAAAAUAAAUCACAAAUAGGUUUACAGGACCACCAGAAGGAGUCUUAAUAGGUCCUGUGCAGCAAAGCAAGGGGGUCAGUACAUGGAAAAAGAUCCCUCCUAGACUAAACUGACAAGUGUGUGGAAAAUGUUGCUUAUGUAGCAGCUUCAGGCCUGUGAUUGGUCCAAGUACAGGCCUCUGAUUGGUCUAAAUGGAUGCAAGGUUCCGGACAGUUAUAGCUGUCAGGGUUCCAGUGAGAAAGUGGAGCUGAAACCAGUGAAUGCUUCUGGAAGACUAGUUGUGGAUGGUUGAGGAUGUUAACAAUGGGCCCAGAGUCUUCUUUCCUUGCUCUUAGCCAUGCCAGAAGGUCCUUUCCCCUCCAUUCAAAGAGACAGCACUUGAAAACUCUGCAUGUUCAAGGUACUGAUGGUUAAAGUGUGGUACCCAGAGGAGCAGCGACCAGAACAACUUGAAAAAUCUAUUCAGAAAUGUGUUAGAAAUGCCAGCUGUUGGGCUUCACUUUGAUCCUGCUAAAUCUGAAACUCCAGGAAUGAAGUCCCACCAUCUAUGUUUUGACAAGCUGUGCAUGAGUUCUUGUUUCUGCUAAUGUUUGAGAAUCACAGUGAUGAAUAUUUAUUGAAUGAGAAAACAUGAGAAAAUUUCUCUGUGUUUUAUUUUUUUCAUUGAUACAGUAACCCUAACAAUUUGGGGGUUA
This 1194-nucleotide long non-coding RNA is filed under the name Fukomys damarensis (Damara mole-rat). RNAcentral describes it as "lncRNA (ENSFDAG00000022301.1)". Lineage: Eukaryota; Metazoa; Chordata; Mammalia; Rodentia; Bathyergidae. The record is from RNAcentral.